This 221-nucleotide ribosomal RNA is filed under the name uncultured Carnobacteriaceae bacterium. Its description in RNAcentral is "partial 16S ribosomal RNA". It matches the Rfam family "Bacterial small subunit ribosomal RNA", at positions 118 to 334 of the family's 1533-position model. Lineage: Bacteria; Bacillati; Bacillota; Bacilli; Lactobacillales; Carnobacteriaceae. The record is from RNAcentral.
UGAGGAACUUGCCCAUGAGCGGGGACAACAUUCGGAAACGUAUGCUAAUACCCCAUAGGUGGAUUGGUCGCAUGACGAAUUCAUUAAAGGUGGCUUUGCUACCACUCAUGGAUAGCCUCGCGGCGUAUUAGCUAGUUGGUAAGGUAAUGGCUUACCAAGGCAGUGAUACGUAGCCGACUUGAGAGGGUGAUCGGCCACACUGGGACUGAGACACGGCCCAG